Molecule: long non-coding RNA, 2784 nt
Organism: Helianthus annuus (common sunflower)
Lineage: Eukaryota; Viridiplantae; Streptophyta; Magnoliopsida; Asterales; Asteraceae
Exons: 2
Source: RefSeq, a predicted model, not a curated record
AAAAAAAUCUAAGGCAGCAAGAAUUUUAGACACUAUCUGCAGAUGUGCCCACUGGCGGGCCGCCACCAACUCCACAGUUUUGUCGCCCGGGCCAGAACGUAACCAGGGGUUACGUAGUUGUUUUUUUUACGCCCUGGCGGGCCGCCACCCUUUUUUUAGAAACCUCUCGCCGCCGCCAGCACGUAUAGCUGUAUUCCGGAAAUUUGCGACUCGGUGGCGGGUCGCCACCCACUUCAGAAUAUAGUCGCCGGCCGCCAGAGCGUAUAUCUGCUGCAGCCGUAAAUCAUUUAAACCCCAAACAAAAAAAAAUUACUUAAUACCUAACCCUUCUUCCCCAUCUCACCCAUAACCCCUCUUAGACCUCCAUGACCACCUAAAAACUCAUCCCAUUUAUCCCCAUCCUUUUCUUCUCAUCGAGACACAUCCACUAUCAUCUAAUAUCCACCAUUACAUACAUAAUCAUCCCUUACCUAAUUUCUUCCUCUAAUCCACCAUAUUUAACCUUAAAAUAGGAGCUAUAUUUGGGGUUCAAGGCUCAACCGAAAUUUUCUUAUUCUCUCUUGUUUUUCACAAAUCCAAGAAUGUCAAGUGCAGGAACUUCAAGUCGGGCCAACAGGAAACGAGGCCGAGACACUUGCUCAGUGGUACACAGGCGGGUGAUGAGGUGUUGGAUGAUGCGGAGUAGAGCGGGAUGCAGCGAGGAUGACAGCUUAUAUCUUUUGUUUAUUUUUUUUAUCUUUAUGCUGUUUUUAAUCCCCGUUUAUUGGUUUGUACUUGAACACGUUAAACAGGUUGGUUGUGAUUUUGGGGAUGGUUGACGCUUGGUUGUUGGAUGUUUGCACUAACACUUAGUAUCUUAUAUAUUAUCUUUUGCUAGUGUUUGGUGUUUGCGUGAUUAGGUUGGUAUUUGUAGCCGCUUUCGUUCGCGUGUCCGAGAUUAGAGUUGUUUGUUGAGCGCGUUUCGAAUUGGAGGGCUUAUGUGGAAACGACUGGCACUUUGACAGUCUCACAUACUCAGCUAAGUCGUUUCCCUUUUUGUUGUUGUUGUAUUUUUUUUAUUUAUUUCGUUUGUAGUUUUGUUUUUUUAGGUAGUUGUCGAGUCGUAUUUUCGUUCUUGCGUUAGGGACAAUGCAAUCUCUAAGUGUGGGGAUGGGAUACAUGUAAAUAUCGAGUCUAAAUUAUUAAAAAUACAAAAAAAAUUUUUAAAAAAAAUUUGAAAAAUCCAAAAAAAAAUUGAAAAACCAGAAAAUGUCUUUUGAAAUAAAAGAAGUUUGCAUUUUUAAACGGAAAAUGAUAGAAAAGAUAAAUUUUUACUCGGGUUGAAAUAAUAAUAAUAUGAGAUUUUAAUAAAUCGAGCUUGCGUCUAGUUAGGGAUAUGUGGAUAGGUCCGGGUUUGGUUUUAAGUCCCUUUGAUCUAAUAUAUCUUAAUUGUCGGUUUACUAGUGGGUUUUCGCCUGGGAGAUAUGGGAAAUUAAAACCGCCAAUAAUAGUAUAAGAGGCACCGUUAUAAAUUAAAAUCGUUAGAGUUUGUGAUCAUGAAAAAAUAUAAUAAAAAGUGGGCUAGAAACUAAAUGAAAGUAAUGCAUUCCUAUGUAAUCUGAGCUGGGGAUAGCGACUCUACAGCAAGAUUACCGCUAGGGUGUGUGAAAUCGACUGUGCAAAAAAGAGAAAAAAGUACCGAAACCUAAGUAAUCUGUGGUUGGGGAUAGCGACUCUACAGCCGGAUUGCCUCUUGGUUAGGGAAAGCAUCGUCUACGCUCACUUAGAGGAUUAAAAAAAAAGCGAAUGAAAAAGAAAAAAAAUGGAAAAAAAAUAUGAUUGUAAACUCUUCUGGUUUUGAUAUAAGACGGUUGGGAAUUGGUCCAGUGAUCGUUCCUUUAGUCCUAUAAGCUUGAGGCGGGAGUAGGUGGACUGUAAAUUCUAGCGUGAGACCCUAGGUAGACUGACCGCAUUUAAAUUAACUCCACAUGAUAAGGGCUUGGGAUCGGAUUCGGGUUUAAGGGGAUAAGUAUAUUCGCAAUCGCAGCUAACGCAAGCCUUGGUUUUAAUUAAAUAUACCUAUGCUUUUGACCCGAGUGAAUAUUUGUCUAUGAUUUCGUUGCAUAAUUCUUUUUCGAGGACGAAAAAAGAGUAAGUGUGGGGAUGUUUGAUGUAUUGCAAAAUACAUAUUUUUAUUCGUGUAAAGUUUGUAUAGUUUUCGUUAUAUUUAGUUUUGUUUUUCCUUAGAAUAUGUAUACUAUUGAUCAAAUCGUGUUUCGCAGGUCUUGAUGCUCAAAUAUGCGAGAAACCGAGUAAAACGAGUUAAAAUGUUGAAGUGUCAAGUCUUGAAGCAUGUUGGAAAGGUUGAGGAGUUGAAAUAGAGUUUAAAAGCUGAAAAAUCACUUUCUGGCACCCCAUCACCCACUGAGCAAGUUUCUAGCACCUGGCGAGAGUCUGAAGUUAGUACAUGAGCUGAAAAAACAAGGUGGCACCCCACCACCCAGUCCCUGAUUUUCUGUCGCCCAGUCACAACGUUCUGAUUGGUAAUUAUUAAGAAAAUUAUAAGGGUUUGUUAUAGAAAGAGAUAUAAAAACAUCCUUAACUUAAGAAGAAACCCUAAUUUCGAAUUGGGACUUCUUUGGGCGAAUUGUUGAGCAUUCUUGGAGCUUUUUCGGAGAUUUUGAAGCCUAGGAAUCAUCGGUACGAGUUCGGGGAAGAAGACUUGAAGAUCUAAUCGGGUUUUCUAGUUCUUUGUUCUUGACUUUUCUUACGAAACUUGUUACAAUGAAUUCUUUGUUGAACAUC